GCAGGCUGCAACUCGCCUGCAUGAAGUUGGAAUUGCUAGUAAUCGCGAAUCAGAAUGUCGCGGUGAAUACGUUCCCGGGCCUUGUACACACCGCCCGUCACACCAUGAGAGCCGAUAACACCCGAAGCCUGUGAGCUAACCGUAAGGGGGCAGCAGUCGAAGGUGGGGUUGGUGAUUGGGGUGAAGUCGUAACAAGGUACC
Molecule: ribosomal RNA, 201 nt
Filed under: uncultured bacterium
Lineage: Bacteria
Description: partial 16S ribosomal RNA
Rfam family: Bacterial small subunit ribosomal RNA
Source: RNAcentral